This 253-nucleotide ribosomal RNA is filed under the name uncultured bacterium. RNAcentral describes it as "partial 16S ribosomal RNA". It matches the Rfam family "Bacterial small subunit ribosomal RNA", at positions 524 to 776 of the family's 1533-position model. The record is from RNAcentral.
UACGUAGGGUGCGAGCGUUACUCGGAAUUACUGGGCGUAAAGUGUGCGCAGGCGGCUGAGCAAGUCGAGUGUGAAAGCCCCGGGCUUAACUUGGGAAUUGCGCUCGAAACUACUUGGCUGGAGUGUGGCAGAGGAAGGUGGAAUUCCACGUGUAGCGGUGAAAUGCGUAGAGAUGUGGAGGAACACCAAUGGCGAAGGCAGCCUUCUGGGCCAACACUGACGCUCAUGCACGAAAGCGUGGGGAGCAAACAGG